CCUAUCAGCUAGUUGGUGAGGUAAUGGCUCACCAAGGCGACGACGGGUAGCCGGCCUGAGAGGGUGACCGGCCACACUGGGACUGAGACACGGCCCAGACUCCUACGGGAGGCAGCAGUGGGGAAUAUUGCACAAUGGGCGAAAGCCUGAUGCAGCNACGCCGCGUGAGGGAUGACGGCCUUCGGGUUGUNAACCUCUUUUAGUAGGGAAGAAGCGAAAGUGACGGUACCUGCNNAAAAAGCACCGGCUAACUACGUGCCNNCAGCCGCGGUAAUACGUAGGGUGCAAGCGUUGUCCGGAAUUAUUGGGCGUANAGAGCUCGUANGCGGUUUUGUCGCGUCUGCUGUGAAAUCUUGGGGGCUCNACCCCCNNCCUGCUUUGGGUACGGGCNGACUA
Molecule: ribosomal RNA, 396 nt
Filed under: Frigoribacterium sp. SR2-20-1-f
Lineage: Bacteria; Bacillati; Actinomycetota; Actinomycetes; Micrococcales; Microbacteriaceae
Description: partial 16S ribosomal RNA
Rfam family: Bacterial small subunit ribosomal RNA
Source: RNAcentral